RNAcentral lists this ribosomal RNA (496 nucleotides) under uncultured bacterium. Its description in RNAcentral is "partial 16S ribosomal RNA". It matches the Rfam family "Bacterial small subunit ribosomal RNA", at positions 28 to 506 of the family's 1533-position model. The record is from RNAcentral.
GACGAACGCUGGCGGCGUGCCUAAUACAUGCAAGUCGAGCGCGAAGGGUUGGUGCUUGUACCAACUGGAUGAGCAGCGAACGGGUUAGUAACGCGUUGGGUAUCUCCCUUUUAGCGGGGCACAUCCUUUGGAAUCGAAUGCUAAUACGGCAUAAAAACUUUAAUCACACGUUUUCAGUUUGAAAUAUGCAAUUGCAUCACCCAAAGAUGAUCCAUCGUUGUAUUAGCUAGUUGGUGGGGUAAAGGCUCACCGAGGCGGUGAUACAUAGCCGACCUCAGAGGGUGGUUGGCCACCCUAGCACUGAGAAACGGCGCAAACUCCUACGGGAGGCCGCAGUAGGGACUCUUACGCGAUGGAGGAAAGUCUGAUAGAGCAAAGCCGCGUGAGUGCAGAAGGUGCUAGGAUCGUAAAACGAUGUAGGUAGUGAAGAACGAUGGUGAGAGUGGAAAGGACAUCAAGUGCCGGUAACUAGCAAGAAGGGGCCGGCUACUUCCGU